Molecule: small nuclear RNA, 107 nt
Organism: Apodemus sylvaticus (European woodmouse)
Lineage: Eukaryota; Metazoa; Chordata; Mammalia; Rodentia; Muridae
Source: RefSeq, a predicted model, not a curated record
GUGCUCACUUCAGCAGCACAUAUACUAAAAUUGUAACAAUAUAGAGAAGAUUAGCAUGGACCCUGCACAAGUAUGACAUGAAAAAUGGUGAAGGGUUCCAUAUUUUU